UUCCGGUUGAUCCUGCCAGAGGUUACUGCUAUCGGUGUUCGCCUAAGCCAUGCGAGUCAUAUGUUCUUCGUGAACAUGGCGUACUGCUCAGUAACACGUGGAUAACCUGCCCUUGGGUCCGGCAUAACCCCGGGAAACUGGGGAUAAUUCCGGAUAACGCAUAUAUGCUGGAAUGCUUUAUGCGUAAAAUGGAUUCGUCUGCCCAAGGAUGGGUCUGCGGCCUAUCAGGUAGUAGUGGGUGUAAUGUACCUACUAGCCUACGACGGGUACGGGUUGUGAGAGCAAGAGCCCGGAGAUGGAUUCUGAGACAUGAAUCCAGGCCCUACGGGGCGCAGCAGGCGCGAAAACUUUACAAUGCGGGAAACCGUGAUAAGGGGACACCGAGUGCCAGCAUCAUAUGCUGGCUGUCCAGGUGUGUAAAAUACACCUGUUAGCAAGGGCCGGGCAAGACCGGUGCCAGCCGCCGCGGUAACACCGGCGGCCCGAGUGGUGAUCGUGAUUAUUGGGUCUAAAGGGUCCGUAGCCGGUUUGGUCAGUCCUCCGGGAAAUCUGAUAGCUUAACUAUUAGGCUUUCGGAGGAUACUGCCAGACUUGGAACCGGGAGAGGUAAGAGGUACUACAGGGGUAGGUGUGAAAUCUUGUAAUCCCUGUGGGACCACCUGUGGCGAAGGCGUCUUACCAGAACGGGUUCGACGGUGAGGGACGAAAGCUGGGGGCACGAACCGGAUUAGAUACCCGGGUAGUCCCAGCCGUAAACGAUGCUCGCUAGGUGUCAGGCAUGGCGCGACCGUGUCUGGUGCCGCAGGGAAGCCGUGAAGCGAGCCACCUGGGAAGUACGGCCGCAAGGUUGAAACUUAAAGGAAUUGGCGGGGGAGCACAACAACGGGUGGAGCUGCGGUUUAAUUGGAUUCAACGCCGGA
This 920-nucleotide ribosomal RNA is filed under the name uncultured archaeon. RNAcentral's name for it is "bacterial SSU rRNA". It matches the Rfam family "Archaeal small subunit ribosomal RNA", at positions 1 to 922 of the family's 1478-position model. The record is from RNAcentral.